UCCCGCCCUGGUGAAUUUGAGGUCAGACC
Molecule: non-coding RNA, 29 nt
Filed under: Homo sapiens (human)
Lineage: Eukaryota; Metazoa; Chordata; Mammalia; Primates; Hominidae
Source: RNAcentral